This 500-nucleotide ribosomal RNA is filed under the name uncultured Glomeromycotina. Its description in RNAcentral is "partial small subunit ribosomal RNA". It matches the Rfam family "Eukaryotic small subunit ribosomal RNA", at positions 591 to 1092 of the family's 1831-position model. The record is from RNAcentral. Lineage: Eukaryota; Fungi; Glomeromycota.
CCAAUAGCGUAUAUUAAAGUUGUUGCAGUUAAAAAGCUCGUAGUUGAAUUUCGGGAUCAGUACGCCGGUCGUGCCUUCGGUAUGCACUGGUGUCACUGGUUUCUCCCUUCUGAAGAACCAUCAUGCCAUUAAGUUGGUGUGGCGGGGAAUCAGGACUGUUACUUUGAAAAAAUUAGAGUGUUUAAAGCAGGCUCGCGCUUGAAUACAUUGGCAUGGAAUAAUGAAAUAGGACGUUUGACCCUAUUUUGUUGGUUUCUAGGAUCGACGUAAUGAUUAAUAGGGAUAGUUGGGGGCAUUAGUAUUCAAUUGUCAGAGGUGAAAUUCUUGGAUUUAUUGAAGACUAACUGCUGCGAAAGCAUUUGCCAAGGAUGUUUUCAUUAAUCAAGAACGAAAGUUAGGGGAUCGAAGACGAUCAGAUACCGUCGUAGUCUUAACCAUAAACUAUGCCGACUAGGGAUCGGAUAAUGUUAAUUUUUUAAUGACUCAUUCGGCGCCUUACG